CCAAAUAAUAACGAUAUAAUAGAAUCGUCACCAUCAUCAUCUUGCAAAUCUGGGACACAUCAACACAUUUCAACAAAAUGCAAUCGGAGUGAGGCGACUCACCUAAGCAACGGAAGCUAACAAGAAGAAUUUAGAAAUGCAACCUUCCGAUCACCAGCAGAGGUUGUUGUUGAAGUGUCCAUCUUCUCCUACUGAGAUGUAAGUGCCUCGACACAGAAACCUGGUUCAUUGAUUUUUUUUAUUUUAAUGCCAAGGACCUCCUUCACUAAAUGCCUGAAAUCAGAACAGAUUUUCCAGCACCUACAUGCCUAUUUAUUUCUCAAGCGCCUGACACCUAAAGGAGCAUUUUUCAUAUGGCUAGGACAUGACAUUUGGGAAAAGCAUCUUUCUAGGGGUGACAGCCUGGCACAGCAUAGACUUUCCUUCUGUUUUACAGUUCUACUGCAAUUUAAAUGUUAGAGUAAUUGGUCAGUUGGCCAUAAAUUGCAUGUACAGUUGACCUUUUAGCAAUGUGAGGGUUAGGGGUCUUCUGUGCAGUUGAAAAUCUGCUUAUAACAGUGAUUCCCCCUAGACUUAACUACCAAUAGCCCACUGUUGACCUGAAGCUUACUGAUCACAUCAACAGUCAAUGAACAUGUAUUUUGUAUGUUAUAUGGAUUUUAUAAUAUACCGUAUACUUACAAUAAAAAAGCUAGACAAAGAAAAUGUUACUAAGAAAACUAUAAGAGAAAAUAUGUUUAUAGUUACUGUAUUUAUUUUAUAAACUGUAUACAGUUCAAAGGUUAACUCUAUAUGUUUAGAAACUUUUGUAACCUCUUGGGAAGUCAUGGGAGAGGGAGUUAAGGGGUCAGAUGGGGCCAGGUGCGCUUUACUGAAGAGCAAUAAUUGUUGCCAUUAAUAUCUUUGCAGCCUCUCUUCCUACCACCAUAACCUGGAUACAUGGAUAUUUUUUCCUCCUCAAAGUAUUUUCCUGUCUUAAAUGUCCUGUAACUACCAUUUAUUCUUUCAGUAAAGCUUCAGAAAUUCAAUAUGAUUCUAUAGUGUCUCCAGACAGUC
This is a long non-coding RNA of Canis lupus familiaris (dog), 1056 nucleotides long. RefSeq lists it as uncharacterized. The record is from RefSeq and is a predicted model, not a curated record. The transcript is spliced from 3 exons. NCBI's taxonomy places the organism in Eukaryota, Metazoa, Chordata, Mammalia, Carnivora, Canidae.